AUCUCCAAUGGUGAUGGACAGGUUGACAGACGAGAUCAGACAAGAGUCCCCAUGGACUGUGAUGUUUACUGAUGACAUUGUGAUCUGUAGUGAGAGUAGGGAGCAGGCUGAGGAGACCCUGGAGAGGUGGAGAUAUGAGAGGAGAGGAUUGAAGGUCAGUAGGACCACCAAGACAGAAUACAUGUGUGUGAAUGAGAGGGAGGUCAGUGGAAUGGUGAGGAUGAGGGGAGUAGAGUUGGCGAAGGUGAAGGAGUUUGAAUACUUGGGAUCAACAGUACAGACUAACGGGGAGUGUGGAAGAGAAGUGAAGAAGAGAGUGCAGGUAGGGUGGAAUGGGUGGAGAAGAGUGUCAGGAGUGAUUUGUGACAGACGGGUAUCAGCAAGAGUGAAAGGGAAGGUCUACAGGACGGUAGUGAGACCAGCUGUGUUAUAUGGGCUGGGGACGGUGGCACAGGAGACAAAGCUGGAGGUGGCAGAGUUAAAGAUGCUAAGAUGUGCAUUGGGUGUGACGAGGAUGGACAGGAUUAGAAAUGAGGACAUCAGAGGGUCAGCUCAAAGCCAGAGAGGCGAGAUUGCGUUGGUUUGGACCUAUGCUGGGUAUAUUGGGAGAAGUGUGCCAAGGAUAGAGCUGCCAGGGAAGAGGGAAAGAGGAAGGCCUAAGAGAAGGUUUAUGGCUGUGGUGAGAGAGGACAUGCAGGUGAUGGGUGUAACAGAACAAGAUGCAGAGGACAGGAAGAUAUGGAAGAAGAUGAUCUGCUGUGGCAAUCACUAACGGGAGCUGCCGAAAGAAGAAGAAGAAAA
Long non-coding RNA from Erpetoichthys calabaricus (reedfish), 801 nucleotides. RefSeq lists it as uncharacterized. The transcript has 3 exons. The record is from RefSeq and is a predicted model, not a curated record. NCBI's taxonomy places the organism in Eukaryota, Metazoa, Chordata, Cladistia, Polypteriformes, Polypteridae.